CAGGGUGAGCGGUCGGUUCGGGA
This 23-nucleotide non-coding RNA is filed under the name Arabidopsis thaliana (thale cress). Lineage: Eukaryota; Viridiplantae; Streptophyta; Magnoliopsida; Brassicales; Brassicaceae. The record is from RNAcentral.